UUAAAUGCAAUGAUCAGGAAGAAGUAAGUUAGAAUUCUUUUCGCAGAGAGCUGGGUAUAGUGUAAACCGGUAAAAGAAACUGCUGAAUGCCACCUGUGAGCAUGAGAACUGAAAUAGAAGUAGGUUCUUAACGAAAUUUCUCGUUAAAGAAAAAAGUGGGUAAAUAGAUACUUAUUUGCUUAUUAGGGUGGUACCGCGGGCUAUCUCUCGUCCCUUGA
This 218-nucleotide non-coding RNA is filed under the name Desulfobacter sp. RNAcentral describes it as "Desulfitibacter sp. T-box sequence". It matches the Rfam family "T-box leader". From Rfam's summary of the family: Uncharged tRNA acts as the effector for transcription antitermination of genes in the T-box leader family. T-boxes are found upstream of many aminoacyl-tRNA synthetase genes and some amino acid biosynthetic genes usually in Gram-positive bacteria. The record is from RNAcentral. Lineage: Bacteria; Pseudomonadati; Thermodesulfobacteriota; Desulfobacteria; Desulfobacterales; Desulfobacteraceae.